Orcinus orca (killer whale) is the source of this 6581-nucleotide long non-coding RNA. RefSeq lists it as uncharacterized. The transcript is spliced from 2 exons. Lineage: Eukaryota; Metazoa; Chordata; Mammalia; Artiodactyla; Delphinidae. The record is from RefSeq and is a predicted model, not a curated record.
UCGCUGGACUAAGAUACUCUGUAGUUAGUAGCUGCCUUUUCUAAGAAAAUGCUUGCUGUUGAAUUUUAGAUUUGAAACUAAAAUCAUCAUCCGGGCUGUUUUAUGAAGAAGGAAUCAGAUGCACAGAGAAUUUAUCUAGGAAGCUUAAUACUUGAGGCCUUUUAAAUUAGCAGUUUAUAUUUGAGGAAGAUUCGUAUUUGGAGAUAAAUGUUAAUCUUCAUUUUGAAAAUAUUCACCAGCUAUCGUGUUGCACCUUUCUCUUUACUUUUGAAAUGUAAUAACAUAUUCAACCAAGGGGACCAGGGCUGUGCUAACGGUUUCAUCCAACCAGAGCCACAUUCCGUCUUAGCAGUUCACUGGCUCCCUUCAACAAUGACUCCUCUCAUUCACCGGUGCCAGGCUGAGGUCAUGUUCUCGGUGUAUCACAGCUCUAAGAAAGGUGAUUGGUCUGUUCCUUCUGCAUCACUCUUGUCCCUGGCUGUAGAUUUGACACAAAUUCCAUGUACACUAUAUGUAAACCAUAUGGACACCAUCUGAGAAGAACCUUUCUCCUGUGUUCGCUCUUCAGGAUAAGCUGAAAGCUUCUGAGCCUGCUUGCCUCUGGCUCCUUUAGUCUCUGUUAUGGCUCCUUUGUUUUAAAUCCUGGAAUUUCCAAGGUCAUGACAAGGUGAGUGUGGGGAAAGAGGGACGAUUGAUACUUGUUACAUGGCUCUGGAUUCACAGGUAUUGACUCUGGCAUAACUUAAUUGUUGAGUGAGAGAUGCUUUAUAUUAACUCUUUAAAUCUAUAUUUUGCCCGAACUUAGGACCUCUGCCCAUAGGUUGGCAAUCGUUAUCUGGCCAUGAUUUUAGGAAUUGUUCUGAUUUCUAAUGUUAUGUCAUGUUGUCAUUCAAGGGCCCAGAGUUUAGUUAAGAGUAUGUGUAGUUGAGUCCCUAGGCUCAUAGGGUAUUAGGACCUAACAUCGUUUACGUUGUGGUCAUUUACAUUUUGUUGCUCAGCAUCCAUUCUUUCUAUUGUUAACAACAUGCUGGUUUCUCUGUAGGACAGCAGUACCACCUCCCUCCAGCUCUCUAUCCAGAUGCUGAUGGUAAGUCUGAUGACAGUUGAGCACAUGACGUGGGUCUGGUCAAUCAGAGCAUGGCCUCCCCUUUGUGUCAGUGAUUGAUUCAAGAAUGAACAUGCAAUGCAGCUGUGCCAUCAGGCUCAACUGUAAAUCAUCCUAGGACUUUUGCUAGAGAUACAGGGAAAGAAUCCUUCUGUCUUCCCCCCGGACUUGAAACUAUGAGGCUGUGAGUCUGGAGUUUCUGGCAGCCAAUGUGCUGCCUUGAGGAGAGAGGCAGGCUGAGAAAGAAAGGAACCUGGAAAGUGGAGGGAUGGAGAGAUGGAGAGAAAGUGAGUCCUGAUGCUAUCAUCUGAGGCAGUACUUCCAGCCUCACCCGCAGUCGCCUUCCCCUGGACUUCUCCAGUUUCAGGAGCCAAUACAUUUAAUUUUUUUGCUUAAGCCAGUUUGAGUCAAGUUUCUGACUCAAACUGAUUGAGUUUGUAUCUGACUCAAACUGAAAGUUCUGAUUGAUACAAGAUGAUUUCUAGGUUGGUUUUAUAUUCGCUGUGGAAAGUGCUUGCUCUUUUAGAGAAGGGAGAGGGAACCUAAGAAAACUUAGUGCCGGGAAACUUUGCCUAGAAACAGACUAGUAGGCACCUGACCUGGUCAGUGGAGACAGACCAGUUAGAACUCAGAAUUAAAGUCUGUCCUAAAGUAUCAUGAAAAUAUAUUGAUUCAAAUUAAGUUUUAUUAUUUUUAAGCAUUUGCAAUCACUGAAAGUAUUUUGGAAGACUGCAAAGUGGCCUAAUGUUAAGGAAACAAGCUUCGUAGUUGGAGUUUGGGAAUGUGAUUUCAUUUCUUUGAAACUUCUUUUCUUUCACUUCAUUUCUCAGUUUCCUCAUCUGUAUAAUGGGCAUAUCCAGUGCCUAUCUCAAAUAAUCACUAAGGCACAUGAAACAUUCAUAGCAGAAUGUCUAGUAUAUCCUCAAUAAGUAGAAGCUAUCACCCUUAAUAAUGCUCUGACCUUUUCCUUUUAGGAUUGUGUAAUGCAUCAUAUGAUAUCUUUGAGCCAGAACUGAGUCAAAAUAAUGUGAACUAGAAGGACAAACUCUCUAGAAAGAGGAUAUUAGGGUUUUUAAACAUUUCUUAGGCUGACUAAAAUUUGUUUGCUAGCUCUUCCAAGUUGGUAAGUAAAAGGAAAUCUAAGUACUGGUUGUUUACUUAUAUUUAGUGAAGGACCAAGUUAUCUAACUGAGUUCCUCUUGUUUAAGGUUGCUCUAAGUUGUCAAUGACAGUCCUCCUGAUGGAAGUAAGAGUUCAGGCCAAGCUUCACCUCCUGGGCACUUAAAAACAAAGUGAGAAAAAAAAAGAUAACACAAAUCAAAACCCUAAUCAAAACCAAUCUUUAUUUAGUACCAUGUGCCUGGCACAAUGCUAAACUCUCUCUGUGGACCAUAUUGUCUCCAUCACAACUCUAGAGGGUAGGAACUCUUAUCACCAUUUUACAGGUGAGAAAACUCAGGCUCAGAAAGAAAGUCUGUUAAAGGGCACACAGGUGGUAUGUGGUGGAGCUGGGAUGGUAGCUGCCCUUUUAACCACACACACACUACUCCUUGCCUGUGCACUCUCCAGUCUAGCAGGAUGGGAGUCCGCACCCUCCAGUUCCUGAGCCCACAUUUGUUCACGGUAGAUCUGAGAGCAUCAGGAGACCUAGUUCCUAGGAGUCAGUACCCCCAGGACCAUCCAAAAGGCUGAUAGUGGGAUGUUCCAGUGGCAAAUUACACACUGUGGGGGCAGAACUGGAUCACUUUGAGGAAAAAGAAUGUCUCUCCUGGAAGAAUUGUUAUAUUCUCAUUAUAUCUGCUUGCUGCUCUGAAAAUCUGGAGAUGUCUCACUGUGGAAGGAUAAUCACUCUUCCCUAGUGAACCACUCAAUAAUUGAUUUGAUUACAUGUGGUUAAUACAGGAACCAGAUGUGGGUAAAAAGUAUCUACUCUUUUAAUUUAUUUUGUUUAAAUACAAUGCUGAAAGGGGGGAAUAGAGAUGUUUAUUUGAAACAAAUGAUUUAUUUUACAUGAAUUUUGUACAGAUGACCUGGCUUGUACUAAGAUGAAUUUAAAACAGUGGUAAUGAACACCUUCCAUCACCCUGACCAUCCUUGAAGUUUCCCCUAUCACCAUGAUGCCUAUUAUCUGAGGUCUUUUUUGUUGCUGUCAGAUGUUAUCAUUGGCUUGUCUCCCUGUGAUGUGUGUGUGUGUGUAUGUGUGUGUGUGUGUGUGUGUGUGUGUGUGUGUAUGGUGGGGGGGGUGACUUGCUGACAAUAGAAAUUAACAAAAUAUAUGAGCAGAGACUCAAACAGUAUUGAGUGAAUGGAUACUAAUGAGCCUCAUCACACGGCAAUGACCUGGUAUGUGGUUGUGAACAGUCAGAGCCACCACACUGCACAACACCAAGGGCUCCAUGUUCACUAGACUCAGACAUCCAAGGUUCCCUGGAAGCUAAAUGGGCCUGUGCAGGGUAUGAUAGAGAGGGAAGGCCUGAAAAGUGGUGGAGGUAGACACGUGUUACUCUUUGGCUGCCCAGAAUUCAUUUACACUAUUUCUUUUUUUUAAAAAAAAAUUAUUUAUUUAUUUGGUUGCACCGGGUCUUAGUUGCAGCAGGCUGGCUCCUUAGUUGUAGCAGGCAGGCUUCUUAGUUACAGCUUGCCAGCUCCUUAGUUGUGGCAUGCAGACUCCUUAGUCGUGACAUGCAAACUCUUAGUUGUGGCAUGCAUGUGAGAUCUAGUUCCCUGCCCAGGGAUCGAACCCAGGCCCCCUGCAUUGGGAGCGUGGAGUCUUAUCCACUGUGCCACCAGGGAAGUCCCCAUUUACUCUAUUUCUAAUAGCUUCUCACAUUAACUGGGGAUCUACUCUUCUCCUAUGCUCAAUGUAGAUAGAGCUAAUUUCACCCCCAGCUCUAAAUGUGGCCUGUGACCCAGGUCUGACCAAUCAAAGCUUCAUAUUCCCCUGACUGCAGAGAUGGAUCCUGACAAGCCACCGGGACUUCACGUUCCUUUGCUGAGACUUCUUAGAGCUUGACUUAGAGACUUGGCCUGUGUGCAAGGCUGGCCUGCUUCUCAGGCGUUUCUGAGCUUUUGGGGCCGAACUGUAAAAUCAUGUUGACUUGAGCAGAUCUAAAGCUGGGAAGGAACACUGAUACAAUGGCAGGAAUACAAGUAUGUGGUGAGUUGGAGGCAUAUAUUUCUUAAUGUUAAAUGAGCAUUGUAGAAGAGGGACCAGUGUUCAUAGCAAAAGAGUGUUAGGGAGAGGAGUUUUGGGAAUUGUAUCAUGAAACGUUCUGGAUCUGAAGUCUGUUGGAAGAUUCCAAGAUUCAAGAUGUGACAUGUCUCCCAGGUUGCAAUUAGCUCCCCCAAGCUUUCAAGAUGGCUGUUGUACAGGGCCAUGGCUGUAUUCUCAGUCCUUUAGCUAGCUGAAAGUUUUCAGGCCAAAAGAUUUCGCCAUUGCUCUUUCUUCAGCCACCUGGAGUCAUCUUCAGUCUUUAAGACAUCUUGGUUAUGUUUUUUCCCAUCUCCCAACCUUUCUCCCAGCACCAUGACUAGAUUAAGCUUUGCCUCUGACAGUGUUUUUUAAAAAUUCACAUUUCUAUUCAGUACAACACUUUGAACUCUUUGGAGAAGAGUUAUCAUAGGGAUCUAGUAAACGAGGGAACUCUUGCGGCAGUGAUUUGAUAAUUUAUUUUCAAGAAAAGUUUUAAAUCGUAGUUUGGAAACCUGUUCUGUUGAAUCCAAACAGGAUUAGUAAGCAUCAGUCAGGACUCAAGGAAUCACAUUUCUAUGGUCACAGUCAUAAGUUAUCUCCCAUUGUAUUUACUCUUCCCUGUAUUUUUUGCCUGACAUUCUGCCUGCAGCGUCUGACUAACUCUGAUGAGGGAAAACUAUCUUAUUCAGCUCUAUUCAUCAUUUUUUUUUUUCCCAGGCUGUGCUAACAAUGAAAAAAUCCCCAAACACCCUGGACGGUUAAUUCGGUAUAAUGGGCUACCAUUUACGGGGCUCGGAGUUUUAGAACUUCCCCAGGCGCAAAGGACUCAGCAAUGAUUGUGGAUUAUAACUGAGGAUUUCUAUUUAUGUCAUUCCAAGAAAGGUGUGUUUUCUUAGGCUCAAAGUCUGACCUUUCUCCUUAUUGAGUGCUUACUGUUGGCCUUUGAAAGUUACUCAUUGGCCCCUGUAUUACCUAGUUACUUUAGUGCUGUGGUAAGUUAAUUCAAGAACUACUCGAAUCACUGAACAUGGCAUGUGUUCUCAUAAACCAGAUAUUUGGGCUUGGGUGGUGAAUCAGAGAGCAGAGGCAGGCACUGAAGGGUGUCUUCAGAGAUGAGACAGGAACCCAUUUCUGUGUGAAUCGGUAUCUGGGAGCAUUCCUCUGGAAAGUCAGCCUGGGACAGCAUAGGAGAAGUAACCUGCUCCCGGUUCUAUUUUCUUCAUUUCUACAGAGAGAUCUGUAGGUACUGGGCCUGCCUUUGGCCAGAAGAAAGUCUCUGGAUUAUUAGAAGAGAUUAGGUUACAAAAAGACUAUGGCGUGCCAAAACUUGGAAGCAACGAAGGUGUCCUUCAGCAGAUGGAAUGGUAAAUAAACUGUGGUACAUCCAGACAAUGGAAUAUUAUUUAGUGCUAAAAAGAAGUGAGCUAUCAAGCCAUGAAAAGACAUGGAGGAAACUUAAGUGCAUGCUCUAAGUGAGAGAAACCAAUCUGAAAAGACUCCCCACUGUAUAAUUCCUACUAUAUGACAUUCUGGAAAAGACAAAAAAAAAAAAAAAAUGAAGACAGUAAAAAGAUCCGUGGUUGCCAGGGGUUAGGGAGAGAGAGGGAUGAACAGGCAGAGCACAGAGGAUUUUUUAAGGCAGUGACAGUAUUCUGUAUGGUACAAUAAUGGAGGAUACAUGUCAUUAUACAUUUGUCAAAACCAAUAAAAUGUACAAUACCUAAAUGUGGACUUCGGGUGAUAAUGUUGUGUCAAUAUAGGCUCAUCAGUUGUAACAAAUUUACCACUCUGGCGGGGGAUGUCCACGGUGUGCAUGUGCGUGGUUGUACAUGUGUCGGGGAAGGGGUUAUAUAAGAACCCUCUGUACUUUUUGCCCAAUUUUGCUGUGAACCUAAAACUGCUCUAAAAAAUGAAGUCUAUUAAAAAAAAAAAGAGGCUAUGGCUUCUGUCUACGUGCCUUCUCUUGCUCUCUCAUUUGCUCGCUCUGAGGGAGGACAACUGCCAAGUUGUGAGGAGCUUUAUGGAGAGGCCCACGUGGCAAGGAACUCAUGUCUCCAGCCAAUAGCCAGCAAAGACCGGAGGCCUGCCCGUGGCCAAAGGAGUGGGUUCAGAGUGGAACCUCCCCCAAAUGGGCCUUGAGAUGACUGCAGCCAGUCAACACCUUGAUUACAGCCUUGUGAGACACAUUUUGAGAAACUCUGAGUUGGAGGUACCCCCUUAAACCAGGCCCAGAUUUAUGACUCAUAGAAGCUGAAAUAAUAAAUAAAUGUUUGUGAUUUUAAA